Molecule: ribosomal RNA, 468 nt
Filed under: uncultured bacterium
Lineage: Bacteria
Description: partial 16S ribosomal RNA
Rfam family: Bacterial small subunit ribosomal RNA
Source: RNAcentral
GACGAACGCUGGCGGCGUGCUUAACACAUGCAAGUCGAACGGAAAGGCCCUGCUUUUGUGGGGUGCUCGAGUGGCGAACGGGUGAGUAACACGUGAGUAACCUGCCCUUGACUUUGGGAUAACUUCAGGAAACUGGGGCUAAUACCGGAUAGGAGCUCCUGCUGCAUGGUGGGGGUUGGAAAGUUUCGGCGGUUGGGGAUGGACUCGCGGCUUAUCAGCUUGUCGGGGGGGUAGUGGCUUACCAAGGCUUUGACGGGUAGCCGGCCUGAGCGGGUGACCGGCCACAUUGGGACUGAGAUGCGGCCCAGACUACUACGGGAGGCAGCAGUGGGGUAUGGUGCACAAUGGGCUGAGGCCUGAUGCAGCAACGCCGCGUGGGGGAUGACGGCCUUCGGGUUGUAAACCGCUUUCGCCUGUGACGAAGCGUGAAUGACGGUAAUGGGUAAAGAAGCACCGGCUAACUACGUG